Molecule: long non-coding RNA, 457 nt
Filed under: Equus caballus (horse)
Lineage: Eukaryota; Metazoa; Chordata; Mammalia; Perissodactyla; Equidae
Description: lncRNA (ENSECAG00000045087.1)
Source: RNAcentral
GUGAUGAGUGCAAAGGAAGCCUGGAUUGAAGUUCCUCACUGUGACUCCCUGUGGUCGUAGAGUGACUUUUCUCUGUUUUGACCCCAAGACUCAUUCACAGGAGCUAUGGAGAAUCCUGCUGCAUCUCAGGAAGAGCAGUUGGGCGUCACCUCACCUAUGCAGUCUUUCCAAUCCUUGCAGACCUGGUUAGAUGGCCCUUUUCUGUUUUCCUACAGCACCCUGCCUCACCCCAUUUACCACAGAAUAACAUUGACAUCCACAAAUCAGAUGGAAGUGCCAGUAAUCUUCAAAAUGAAAGAAUGGAGCAUUCUCCAGAAUGUUUCCUCAGUGGAAAGGCUGUGAACUCGACUGGACUGGGAAAUUACCUACCUUAGAGAAUGCAGAGCACCAGAAGCCUGGAGACCUGGCCAAGAGUUUCCAUGGUUGGGAAAGUCAGCUUGCCUGUCCAUGUCUUGGG